AGGCGUCUGUGCUUUUGAAAGUAAUGCCAAAUGUGGAAAUACUUGUAAUAUUUUGAUUCGUAUUGAAUUCUACUGUAUUAGUAUUCGAUUCUUGUUGCAGUCAUGCAAACCAACUGAUGAGGAUCUGUUUUACUGCUGGAAAAAAAAAUGCUACGUGGUGUGAGAAACUCAGGAACUGAUCAGACCAAACCGAAGUGGAGAUUUUUAUAAGCAGAUUUCAGCUCAGUUUGUCCAUACAAUAUACACAUCUGGGAUGGAUUAAAGAUGCAUUCUGCCUUGAUGUGGGUUCAGUGGAUCAUCAUCAUCAGUAGCAGCAAUAUCUUCAUCAUCAUCAGCACCAGCAUGACCCCCUAUUCCUCCUCAGGAAGUUGAACAAAGUUCCGUGACUGCAAUGUUGUGACUGGAUUUUUUGAGGAGUUUUGGGGAAAGUCAGUAUGGUGUUCAUAAUCUGUAAUAGCAAAGGUGUUACUGCUGACUUGCUGAGCUACAGGCCAUCACCAACCACCUCCAUAAAACUUCCCACAGCACAAUAAUUCAAGGAUCUUGGUCCUUGGAAUCCAGAAUUUUCUUAGGAUGUUGUCAUCAGAUAGAGGGUCAAAUGGGGAGAAAUUUGUCCUUAUGUAUAUACACUACCUGACUUCUGAAUCGCCUUCUGUGCUCAAGCUGUAGGAUUCUUUGUAAAG
Myxocyprinus asiaticus (Chinese sucker) is the source of this 683-nucleotide long non-coding RNA. RefSeq lists it as uncharacterized. The record is from RefSeq and is a predicted model, not a curated record. NCBI's taxonomy places the organism in Eukaryota, Metazoa, Chordata, Actinopteri, Cypriniformes, Catostomidae. The transcript is spliced from 3 exons.